This 74-nucleotide transfer RNA is filed under the name Mariniblastus fucicola. Its description in RNAcentral is "Planctomyces sp. FC18 tRNA". It matches the Rfam family "tRNA". From Rfam's summary of the family: Transfer RNA (tRNA) molecules are approximately 80 nucleotides in length. Their secondary structure includes four short double-helical elements and three loops (D, anti-codon, and T loops). The record is from Rfam by way of RNAcentral. Lineage: Bacteria; Pseudomonadati; Planctomycetota; Planctomycetia; Pirellulales; Pirellulaceae.
GGCGCGGUACGCAAAACGGAAUAGCGACGAGACUUAAAAUCUCGUGAUUGUGGGUUCGAAUCCCACUCGCGCUU